UACGUAGGGGGCAAGCGUUAUCCGGAAUCAUUGGGCGUAAAGGGUGCGUAGGCGGCCCUAUAGGUCAGAGGUCAAAGGCUACGGCUCAACCGUAGUAAGCCUUUGAAACUGUAGGGCUUGAGUGCAGGAGAGGAGAGUGGAAUUCCUAGUGUAGCGGUGAAAUGCGUAGAUAUUAGGAGGAACACCAGUGGCGAAGGCGACUCUCUGGACUGCAACUGACGCUGAGGCACGAAAGCGUGGGGAGCGAACAGGAUUAGAUACCCUGGUAGUCCACGCCGUAAACGAUGAGUGCUAGGUGUCGGGGGUCGAACCUCGGUGCCGCAGUUAACGCAUUAAGCACUCCGCCUGGGGAGUACGUUCGCAAGAAUGAA
RNAcentral lists this ribosomal RNA (371 nucleotides) under uncultured bacterium. RNAcentral's name for it is "bacterial SSU rRNA". It matches the Rfam family "Bacterial small subunit ribosomal RNA", at positions 524 to 898 of the family's 1533-position model. The record is from RNAcentral.